GACGAACGCGGGCGGCGUGCCUAAUACAUGCAAGUAGAACGCUGAAGGAGGAGCUUGCUUCUCUGGAUGAGUUGCGAACGGGUGAGUAACGCGUAGGUAACCUGCCUGGUAGCGGGGGAUAACUAUUGGAAACGAUAGCUAAUACCGCAUAACAGUAGAUAUUGCAUGAUAUCUGCUUGAAAGGGGCAAUUGCUCCACUACCAGAUGGACCUGCGUUGUAUUAGCUAGUUGGUGAGGUAACGGCUCACCAAGGCGACGAUACAUAGCCGACCUGAGAGGGUGAUCGGCCACACUGGGACUGAGACACGGCCCAGACUCCUACGGGAGGCAGCAGUAGGGAAUCUUCGGCAAUGGACGGAAGUCUGACCGAGCAACGCCGCGUGAGUGAAGAAGGUUUUCGGAUCGUAAAGCUCUGUUGUAAGAGAAGAACGAGUGUGAGAGUGGAAAGUUCACACUGUGACGGUAUCUUACCAGAAAGGGACGGCUAACUACGUGCCAGCAGCCGCGGUAAUACGUAGGUCCCGAGCGUUGUCCGGAUUUAUUGGGCGUAAAGCGAGCGCAGGCGGUUAGAUAAGUCUGAAGUUAAAGGCUGUGGCUUAACCAUAGUACGCUUUGGAAACUGUUUAACUUGAGUGCAAGAGGGGAGAGUGGAAUUCCAUGUGUAGCGGUGAAAUGCGUAGAUAUAUGGAGGAACACCGGUGGCGAAAGCGGCUCUCUGGCUUGUAACUGACGCUGAGGCUCGAAAGCGUGGGGAGCAAACAGG
RNAcentral lists this ribosomal RNA (763 nucleotides) under uncultured Streptococcus sp. RNAcentral's name for it is "bacterial SSU rRNA". It matches the Rfam family "Bacterial small subunit ribosomal RNA", at positions 28 to 776 of the family's 1533-position model. Lineage: Bacteria; Bacillati; Bacillota; Bacilli; Lactobacillales; Streptococcaceae. The record is from RNAcentral.